AGAAGGCAUUACUAAAUGCAUCCGUCCCAGAGCACACUGGCUCCAAAAGAAGCUGGAGAAAGACAAUAUAAAGUGUGUUCCACUACUGCGUGCUCGUUACAGGAAUCUCUUCUAGUCUUUACAAAGGAAAGGACAAGCGACCUGCACAGAACACUUUUAUUUAUCUGUUUAUCUUUAAGUUGGGCAUUAUGUUCAUUGUUAUACCAAUUGUUUAAGCAGUAUUAAGCUGGUGAUCAAACAAAACAGCUGCAAACAAAAAUAAUUUAAUUUAAUUUAUAAUAUUAAUUUAUUGACAUAUUUUAAGGACUGCCUGUCAUUGUCAUUUUUAUUACAUACUAUUAUUUAUUAUUUAUUGGUUUAUGUUUGUUGUAUUACUGUAAUAAAUGAAAUAUUUGUUAAGAU
Osmerus eperlanus (European smelt) is the source of this 402-nucleotide long non-coding RNA. RefSeq lists it as uncharacterized. Lineage: Eukaryota; Metazoa; Chordata; Actinopteri; Osmeriformes; Osmeridae. The record is from RefSeq and is a predicted model, not a curated record. The transcript is spliced from 2 exons.